RNAcentral lists this ribosomal RNA (492 nucleotides) under uncultured bacterium. Its description in RNAcentral is "partial 16S ribosomal RNA". It matches the Rfam family "Bacterial small subunit ribosomal RNA", at positions 29 to 507 of the family's 1533-position model. The record is from RNAcentral.
AGUGAACGCUGGCGGUAGGCCUAACACAUGCAAGUCGAACGGCAGCACAGUAAGUGCUUGCUCUUACGGGUGGCGAGUGGCGGACGGGUGAGGAAUACAUCGGAAUCUACUUUUUCGUGGGGGAUAACGUAGGUAAACUUACUCUAAUACCGCAUACGACCUACGUUUGAAAGCAUUGGAUCUUCUGACCUUUCGCGAUUGAAUGAGCCGAUGUCGGAUUAGAUAGUUGGCGUGGUAAAGGCCCACCAAGGCGACGAUCCGUAGCUGGUCUGAGAGGAUGAACAGACAAACGGGAAGGGAAACAAGGUAAAGAAGACUAAGGGAGGCAGCAGAGGGGAAUAUUGGACAAUGGGCGCAAGAAUGAUACAGCAAUACCGAGUGGGUGAAGAAGGACUUCGGGUUGUAAAGCGAUUUUGUUGGGAAAGAAAAGAAGCAGGAUAAUAACAAGCUGUAGUGACGGUACCCAAAGAAGAAGCACCGGCUAACUACGUG